Molecule: ribosomal RNA, 370 nt
Filed under: uncultured eukaryote
Lineage: Eukaryota
Description: partial 18S ribosomal RNA
Rfam family: Eukaryotic small subunit ribosomal RNA
Source: RNAcentral
CAAUAGCGUAUAUUAAAGUUGUUGCAGUUAAAAAGCUCGUAGUUGGACCUUGGACCUGGACAGGCGGUCCGCCUCACGGCGUGUACUGUCUUGCUGGGUCUUUCCUCUUGGUGAUCUGUUGUUUCGGCAGCAGGGAACCAGGACUUUUACUUUGAAAAAAUUAGAGUGUUCAAAGCGGGCUCGACGCCGGAAUAUAUUAGCAUGGAAUAAUAAAAUAGGACGUGCGGUUCUAUUUUGUUGGUUUUUGGAAUCGCCGUAAUGAUUAAUAGGGACAGUCGGGGGCAUUAGUACUCACAUGCUAGAGGUGAAAUUCUUGGAUUUUGUGAAGACUAACUUCUGCGAAAGCAUUUGCCAAGGAUGUUUUCAUUAA